CUAGUGUCAGCCCCCGCGGUAAUACGUAGGGUGCAAGCGUUAAUCGGAAUUACUGGGCGUAAAGCGUGCGCAGGCGGUUUUGUAAGACAGAGGUGAAAUCCCCGGGCUCAACCUGGGAACUGCCUUUGUGACUGCAAGGCUGGAGUGCGGCAGAGGGGGAUGGAAUUCCGCGUGUAGCAGUGAAAUGCGUAGAUAUGCGGAGGAACACCGAUGGCGAAGGCAAUCCCCUGGGCCUGCACUGACGCUUCAUGCACGAAAGCGGACCG
RNAcentral lists this ribosomal RNA (266 nucleotides) under Diaphorobacter sp. RNAcentral's name for it is "partial 16S ribosomal RNA". It matches the Rfam family "Bacterial small subunit ribosomal RNA", at positions 501 to 766 of the family's 1533-position model. The record is from RNAcentral. Lineage: Bacteria; Pseudomonadati; Pseudomonadota; Betaproteobacteria; Burkholderiales; Comamonadaceae.